UGGAUCAAUGACUCAGUUUACUCUAUUUCAAGACUAUGAGGGGCAGAGAAGUACUGUCCUGCAAGGGAAUUUUUUUGUUGUUGGAAGUUCCCAAUUCCAGGGAGAUCAGGAGUUCAAUCCCUCUCCCUCUCUUACGUCUGCAAAGAGGGAGGGGAGUGUAGCCAUGCAUGACCUCUGCUCCAUUGGACCCAUCUGUGACAAUCUGAUUCAGUCACUUGGUCUUUGAUCCCAGGUGCCCUUGUGACUCCAAACAUUAGCCUAGUCCUAUAACUAUAAAGUUGCAAAAUCCCCAACAAAAUUGGACUGAGCUCAAGACCAGUGAUCUUUCUCCUGCCCUUAUUUAGAAAGGGAUCAAAUGCCAAGAAGCCUCAUUCAGAGUCAUUUUGAAACCAGUGCAGGCACUCAUGGCAGAGGUAAAAGGCUUCCUAGUAGGGGAAGAGACAAAGCAGUAUGGAGAGCAGAAGGGGUCUAAGCUGUGGGUCAUAAUUUUGGUUAUCAUUCUGGUGGUCCUCCCUGUGCUGGCCACAUUUCAGUGGUUUUUGCACAGAGCCACUUCUGAAGUCUUUCACCAAGCCUUCCCCUGUAAUGAGAGUCAACUACUGGAGGAGAAACUGAAACAAAGCCAGGAAAGCUUCCUGGAGAUGGAGACAAGAUGGUGGAGUUGCAGCAAUGACUCGAGAGACCUGAAUCAGACCCUGGAGGAGUUGACAUCCCAGAGAAACUCGCUGUACACUCAACUGCAGGAGCUGAAGGAAGAGAACCUGGAUUUGACUGAUAAACUUAAGAAGACUGAAACAGCCCUGCAGAGGGAAAGAGAAAAGAACUCAAGAGAGACAAAUUCAGCACUCCUUGGCCCUCAGACCUACUCUGGCCUCCUGAGUUUCUCUCUGGCCAUUGUCUUGCUUUCUGGGGCAGCUUAAGUGAG
This 925-nucleotide long non-coding RNA is filed under the name Monodelphis domestica (gray short-tailed opossum). RNAcentral describes it as "lncRNA (ENSMODG00000032776.2)". The record is from RNAcentral. Lineage: Eukaryota; Metazoa; Chordata; Mammalia; Didelphimorphia; Didelphidae.